GCCACCGCCGGCGCCGCCGGCGUUACCGUUGUUGGCGCCCACGUACGUCGGCCUCGGUCCAUUCGUGUUCUGAAAAUCAGGAGGAUCUCCGUUAAAGAGCAGCAUUUAAAUAUUAUCGAAGAUGUACGAAGGAGUGACGGGAGAAAUGAGUGGCUUUGAGAUACUUCAAUCGGACACGGUAUCGUUUCGAAUGAAAUCGUGAGUUCUAACGACAUCGAGAAUAAUUACGUACACUCAUGGAUUGCAUGUAAAAAUGUACUGUCUUAAGAGAGUCGCUUGUAGAGUACACAAGAAAGUAGAGACGUUAGUUCAGACGGACGACUUUCGUUCUGACUACGGUUGACGAUUAAAGAAAGAUAAACGUAACGUAUGUUAUCAGUUCUGGUGCAAUGCCGCCGUUCGAAAUGCCUUGUUAAGAACGUCAAGUACAUUUAUCAGUGAAUUCUUCUGUUCUGUUUGAGGUUCAGUUGGACAAUGAUGCGGUCUUAUCGCGAAACGAGUCGAUCGGUCAUCGUUACCACGUUAAUUUAUCUCUUGGGAACGGAUGAAGAUAUUUUCAGUUUAGAAUUUUUAAAUAACAGCAGUUCUGUCUCUUAUUGUCAGACAAUAAUUCAAGCAUAAACGUGAAUGUAUUGUUACUUCAUUAAUAAAACAAUAAUAAAACAAGAAAUAACUUAAAAAAAAAAAAUAAACUACAGAAACGCUUGAUGUUCCUUUGGAAAGUACUAGGAAAGUAGCUUAACGAAAUCAAGAAAGAGACGUAACACAGAACAAGAACUUAAAAAUCCCCAAUAAAGCAAAUGCAAUUAAUAAUUUAAAAGACAAUUCGCCUUCAAUUUUUCUCCCUUGACGUCAGUAUCCAUUGUGGCUGCACCGACCGACCGGACCUUUAAUAUCGAUGCGAUACCGUUGCGUCAGUCUCUAUCGAUUUUCUCGAGCGAAACGGUGUACUAUUUUAGAAAGCGAUCGCGUUUCGCCGACCCCGUAGUUUCCCGCAUACACGUCGGCCGUGCACGUCGAUAAGAUGAGAGAAAGAAAGAAAGAAAGAAAGAAAGAAAGAAAGAAAGAGAGGAGAGAUCCCCCCUCCCCAUUCGUUAUCGUUUAUCAGUGACCUCGCGCGGUCACGCCUCUCCGAUAACAAGAAAGAACGACCGUUCGGUCUCUACCUCGCGAACCUCUUCGCCUCUGAGUGCUUCAUUCUCGGUGCAUCGGGAGAUGCACACCUUUCUAACAGCAUUCAGGAGCGCCCGUAUCGAUUCACGUAUCCAUCGGGCCGCCACAGUCGUCACUUAUCGCGCAACUUUCCCAUUUUCAACGUUAUUUUCGCGACUGGAUUAUUCCUUCCUAGACUAACAGAAGAAAAGGAUUUGACGUUAUAUAUUUUCGUUGACACUUCCCCGCGCUCCCCAAACAGCUUUGAGUCAAUCAUCGAUCGUCCAGAAACCGCGGAGUACGUCCCGGUUACUCUCGCAACCGCAGCCGAAAAAUUCCGCGGUUCAAAGUGCGCUCGACGAAAGGACACCCUGCAUAGUCGAAUAUGCGCGUGACGCAACGGCGGCGGAGCAAAAUCCGACAGCGGAAUGAUUUAGCUGUGAUAAGACCCAUUGACGAUCGUGCGACGAUGACUUGGAUCUCAACGACGGCAAAAUACAGAUUGUCGUGUGAUCAGGUCAAAAAAAGAAAGAACAAAUGACAGAGUUUUAUUGGCGUCGUCGAGCAACCCUUCGAAGAAUAAAGAGAAAGACGCAUAAGUAAUAUAGAAAGAAAAAAAGAGGUGACUGCUAAAACAAAAGAAUAAAAGAAAAGAAAAAAAUAAAGAU
This 1820-nucleotide long non-coding RNA is filed under the name Monomorium pharaonis (pharaoh ant). Its description in RNAcentral is "uncharacterized LOC105829133, transcript variant X2". Lineage: Eukaryota; Metazoa; Arthropoda; Insecta; Hymenoptera; Formicidae. The record is from RNAcentral.